CACAUAUCUUUUCCACUCAUUCCUGGAUUCUUGAGGAAGAUCCACUUAAAAUGCAAGUGUUAAAUACGGUGAUGGGGCCGGAUGGGCCUAGGGUGAUAAACACACUUAUUCUGAGCAUUGAUAGUUAUGCAUAGGACUGUAUGGGGCUGGCGUAGCCCCAGCGGCAUAGGUUCUACUGAGACCUAUCCCCAGAUGGGAGCCAUAAGCACAUGGGCAAUUGUACAGCCAUGUAACCACACCAGUAACUGGCUAGAACCAAGAGCUCCAAAGCUACACAGACAGGUUCCAGUCCUGCUUCUGCCUCCCCUGCUCAGUGCCUGUGUUCACCCAUGGGCAAACCAAGCUCUAAAUAGGAUGAAGCAUGGCAACUACUCAGCACAGUAUCUGGUACAGAGUAAGCCCUCAGAAAUGAUAGUAUUAUUAUUAACAAUAGUAUUAUUCAUCCGAAGUACCUGGGGCUGCGUAUAUCUCAGUUCUCUUUUCCUCCUGGGCAAUUUCCAUUUUCUAAACCGAAGUCCUGCUUUUUCAGCAAGGAAACUGCUAAAUGCUCCCGCAUCAGCGUGUAUGUCUGUGUGUGCGUCUGUGUGUGUGUGUGUGUGUAGGGGCAAGGGGCUCAAGUGUUGGAAGUGGCCCAGCGCGUGUGUGUGUAUGUGUGUAGGGGCUGGGGGGCUUAAAUGUUGCAGGUGGUGCAACGUGUGUGUGUGUGUGUGUGUGUGUCUAAGGGCUGGGGGCUCAAGUGUUGGAAGUGGUGCAGCGUGUGUGUUUGUGUGUGUGUGUUUGCGUGCGUGUAUGGGUGUGUGUAAGGGCUGGGGGCUCAGGCACUGGAGGUGGCUCCGCGUGUGUGUGUGUGUUCAGGGGCUGGGGGCUCAACUGUCAGAGGUGGCCCAGAGGCCGGUUAGAGACUGGGAGGGAGGGCAGAGGCAAGAGAGUCAGCGGGUGCUCUCGCGAGAGUUCACCGAGUUGGUAAAGUUAUUAAAACACAAAAUACACAUUUGCACCAGGAAAAAAAACAACCCCCCGCUUGUCCCGCCCUGUCCCUCCAGGCUGCGCAACGCUGGAGGGCGAUGGGAGCGCGAGACAGAUCUCGUCUCCAUGUACUUUACCUUUCCCUGUACCUCUGCUUGUCUGAGAGGUCUCAAGAUCAUCAUUUGGGACCUCCACUUCUGCUGGGUCUGUCAUCUUAGAUCGCCUUGAUCUUCAGCAUCUUUGUGAAGUUGAACAGGGGAACGACUCUUAUUAUGGGUAUUUCUGCAUUAUACUUUAUAUAUUUAAGCCAUAAUGUAAGGAAUAACUGUGGGCCAUAUUUACUAAACGUUUAAUAUAUGUUAGGUCCUGUUUGGCGUUUUAAGUAUAUUGUCUUAUCUAAUUCUCAUCUGACCCUGUGAGGUAGGUUCUGGUGUGUUUACUGCGUGGAUGAGGGAACUGACACUUAAAAUUGUAAUCACUUGUCAAGGUCAAGGUCAUUCAACAGGAUCAGAAUCAGGACAUAACCCCUGGUCCCUCUGGGUCCAAAGCUUGUAGUCUCAAGUACUGUAUCAUCCUAAGCACCAUUGAUGAUGACUCAUUUCAGGCUGGCUUAAGGGAUAAGCUUUCACCAAUUUGUUCUUAUAAAUAUUUACUGUUUUCAAACCAUGUGUUAGACAUUGUGGGAGUACAGAGUUGAAUGAAACACAGUCUUUGCUUCUAAGGAAUGUACAUCUAGUUGGGGAGAUAAACUUGCAAUGUGACAGUAUGAGUUGGGUGCGUUCGGUCUGAACAGACAGCAAAGCUCUUUCCUUGUUGCCUUGCUGAGUGAUAAGCAAAUCUGCUCCCCAACUUCUGCUCCCUCAGCCUGUACAGAGAAGUGUUCUCUGUCAGGGGUUCCAUGUUCUUCAGGAGCUUAGCAAUGUGAUAGGAACCAAAAAGGGGCCACCGCCUGGAACCAGCAGUGGAGGUUUUGUCACCAUUCUAAUGGGGCCACAGACUGUGGGAAUAUAAAACACUGACAGUGGACACUGAGAACCACUGUGCAUGGGCCAGGCAAGUGAGGGCUGAGUCCUGGUGGAUUGUGAGAAAGCACGGGGAAGUGGCUAGAGCCACCUCACUCACUCCAGGUACCUUCUAGGAGUCAAUGGCCUUGCAUGAUUUGAUUAGAGAAUAAAUAAAAUGUGGCACAUAUAUGCCAUAAAAUACUAUGCAGCCAUAAAAAAAGAACAAGGUUAUGUCCUUUGCGGUAACAUGGAUGGAACUGGAGGCCAUUAUUCUAAACAAACUAACACAGGAACAGAAAACCAAAUUCUUCAUAUUCUCACUUAAAAGUAGGUGCUAAACAUUGAGUAGACAUGGACACUAAGAAGGGAACAACAGACACCAGUCACUACUUGAGGGUGGAAGGUGGGAGGAGGGUGAGGAUUAAAAAGCUACCUAUUGGGUACUAUGCUUAUCACCUGGGUGACAACAUAAUAUGUACACCAAACCCCACCACCAGUAUUUUACCUAUAUUACAAACCUGCACAUAAGCACCUGAACCUAAAAUAAAAGUUAAAACGAUCAUAAAUAAAUACAUAAAAGGCAAAAAAAAAAAAAAAAAAAAAAAAAAAAAAAACAAAAAAAAAGAAGUGAAAAGAGCCAUUAUCCAAGAAGAAGAAGACAGAGGAGGAGGAAAAGGAGAUUGUCUUUGGAAAUAUUCUCAUGGAAAGAGAUGAGAGUUGCUUCUUACCUCCACCAUCAUAUCCUGUUUGUUCCUCCUAGGGAACCUAUCACCUUAUCCAUUUCAUCUUUGUCAAUCCAAAUUCUAGCCACCAAAAGCAAAUCACCUUACCUCCUUUGUGACAAUUUUUCUGAUCAUCUCAAGGAGAAUGGUUGGAACAUGUCUUCUCAUACUUUCUGAGUUCCUCAUUUUCAUUCAUUCAGUCAGUCAAUCAGUCAGUCUGUCAACAAAUAUUGAGUGCCCAAUAGAUGCUGACCAUUGUGCUAGGUCUAUAGCACUGAGUCAGUGUUUGCUCAUUCAGUUACCCAAUGACUUCUUAUUCCAACAAACAUCCUUAAAAGGGAUAUUUGGUUGAGGAGAAUCUACUAUAUGCAAGAUCACAGUGCAGCAUAGACAACAACUGUAUAUGCUAAACCUAGAUUCACAGAGUAUUGGCAUAAACUCAUGACAUAAGAGAAGACCCAAGGCCAAAGAAACUUCAGUUAAUAGAAGAGAGUAGAAAGGGCAUUUUGCAUGUACUGGAGGAGCUAGGAUUCUCUAAUUGGUUCAGUUAUUUAUUUAGAAAAGAAAACAUGAAGGAGAAUAUGUAAUGCAGUAGUAGUUUCUUAGCACAAUAUCAAGACAGGUGGACUAAACCAGUCCAGAUGCCUUCUGGAACAGGAGAGGGGAGCUUUUAGGAGUGCAUAGAGGCCUUUACAACAGACAUUAAGUUUCAGAAAGAGAAAACAUUUCACCAUUUUAGGACUUAUUCCAAAGAAACACCAUACAGCCAAAUAAUUUUGGAGACCAUUUAAAAGAAGAUCCCAAUAUGAUGGGAUCCAUAAAAGACAGGUCUGAAAGUAAAUAAAAGAUGGUAGAAUGAAUGAAGUCAUUCCAAAAGAGUAAAAGGAUAAGAAAAAAUCGUGCACGUGGCAGAAAUACAGAGGCACUAAUAAAGUAUUUGGACUCAGUGUGGGCAGAUGAGAGAGGUCUCUGGUUGGAGAAUUAGAUUUGAAAAGAGGAAUAGCGAGAAAGGGAGAUGAUAAGAUAGACUUACAUGAGGGGGAUAGUUGUAUGGAGACACCAAGAGAAGCAUGCUGGUUAGAGGUUGAGUGCUGGGAGAGUGGAAGCUGAAUCAAGGGCAGUGAAUGAGAGUAUGUAUUAGUUUCAAGGCUAUUGAAAUAACAGUUUCCAUGUCAUUUCCUCCACCACUAAUGUCACUGCUGACAUCACCACCACAAUAACUAUCACCGUCAUUAUCAUUGCCACCAUUAUCAUCACCACCAUCAUUUCUACAACUACUGUUGCUACUACCAUCACCAUCACCACCACCACUAUUAACAUCACCAACAUCAUAGCUACAACUACUAUUGCUACCAUCACCACCACCACUAUCACCAUCACCAUUACUACCACAGACACCAUCAUGCUCACUAUCAUCAUUGCCACAACUACUAUUUCUACCACCAUCGGCAUCACCACCAUCACCAUGAUUACUACCACCAUCACCACCACCACAACCACUGCCAUGCUCACCAGCACCAUUGCAACACCUACUAUUAUAACCAUCACCAUCCCCACCACCACAGCCACCAUCAUCGCCACCAUCAUUGCCACAAUCAUCACCACCCCAUCCACUACCACCGUCCAUCAUAUACCACCAUCAUUCAUCCCAACUGACUUACCAGCCACUAUCACCACACUACCACCACCACAUACGGUCAUCCACCAUCAUCAGUUGCCACGGACGGGGCGUAUUACUACCAUCAUCACCAAUCCACCCAUGACCACUACUGCCAUCAGGCAGUGCCAUCAGCAGUAUUAUCACCAUCAUUGCCAUUAGCACUACCAUCCCAAAUUAUUGCUCCUCUGCAGACAGAGACAGUUGUACUUCUUUCUUUCUGAUUUGAAUGCCUUUUAUUUCUUUCUUCUGCAUAACUGUUCUGGCUACAACUUCCAGUACUACAUUGAAUAGCAGUGGUGACCGUGGGCAUCCUUGUCUUUUCCUGAUCUUAGAGGGGAAAAGCUUCUAGUUUUGCACUGUUGAACGUGAUGCUAGGUGUGGCUUGUCAUAUAUGGCCUUUAUUAUGUCAAGAUACAUUGCUGUUGCACCUGAUUUAAUGAGCGCUUUUAUCGUGAAAGGAGAUGAUCUUUGAAUGGCUGCUAUUUUCAUGGACUCUUUGGCCCCCUGUCUGCAGCUUAAGUCUUCAGUAAGGACUCUAAUGAGUAAAUUCUAUGCAGCUUGACAUUCUUGUCUGAAUAAUAAAAGUUCUACAAACCAGGUGGCUCCAGUAAUCUGUUUAUUAUCAUUUCUCUUUCCUAGUUAGAAUUUAUCAUUUUUCAUCUGUGUGAAAAGGAGUCUCUUCAUCAUUUCUAGGCUAUGCUAUACUUCUGUAUCCAGAAACUCUGACUUAGAGAGCCUGGGAGAUGUGAGAGCAUUUGACAGAUACAUAAGUUAAUGAAAAGAAUAUUUAAUCUAUUUUUUUUAGAUGGGAACGCUGAGACCCAAGAACUUGGAAUGUCUAUACCUAAAUGCAGGUAAAUUUUUUUUUACAAGAGUUUAUAUUAAGUGCCUCAUGGAGACUGAGAAGACUUACAUCUCUUAAUGUUUUGAGAUUGACCAAUUUUAAGUUAGUUUCCAAGAAAAGGAAAAAAUAAAGAAAUGAUCAAC
Long non-coding RNA from Rhinopithecus bieti (black snub-nosed monkey), 5339 nucleotides. The record is from Ensembl. NCBI's taxonomy places the organism in Eukaryota, Metazoa, Chordata, Mammalia, Primates, Cercopithecidae.